CUGCGGCAAAUGCUGAAGUGGAUCAAGCACCAAAUCUUGCAGCUGUCACAGCGGCUAAAAAUAAAGCAACAUCGUUAAACACAGCGAUGGGUAAUUUGAAACAUGCACUUGCUGAAAAGGAUAAUACGA
This 129-nucleotide small RNA is filed under the name Staphylococcus aureus. RNAcentral describes it as "3'UTR". The record is from RNAcentral. Lineage: Bacteria; Bacillati; Bacillota; Bacilli; Caryophanales; Staphylococcaceae.